RNAcentral lists this ribosomal RNA (253 nucleotides) under uncultured bacterium. RNAcentral's name for it is "partial 16S ribosomal RNA". It matches the Rfam family "Bacterial small subunit ribosomal RNA", at positions 524 to 776 of the family's 1533-position model. The record is from RNAcentral.
GACAGAGGGCGCAAGCGUUGCUCGGAAUCACUGGGCGUAAAGGGCGCGUAGGCGGUCAAGUACGUCGGGCGUGAAAUCCCUAGGCUCAACCUAGGAACUGCACUCGAAACUGCAUGUCUUGAGUACCGGAGAGGAAAGCGGAAUACCUGGUGUAGAGGUGAAAUUCGUAGAUAUCAGGUGGAACACCAGUGGCGAAGGCGGCUUUCUGGGCGGUAACUGACGCUGAGGCGCGAAAGCGUGGGGAGCAAACAGG